AUCAAAUUAAAUUUUGGUUCUUUAAGAGAUCUUCUUUGUACUCCGCCUUUUCGAUAUUAAUAAAGUAUUUGCUCCGUCUUCGCCCGUGGACGUAGGCCGUUGGCCGAACCACGUAAAUAUCGGUGUGUUCUUUCCUUAUCUUUUCUUUUCUUGCAUUAAAUUAUUUUCUGGAUCUAUUUUUCGCCGUUCCGAUUUUAACACGCGACGAUACGGAUGCUAACGUCGAAAUCCGUCUCGUCUUUCAGAUCACCGAUAAUAAAACCGCCGUCACUGUCUGCCACAUCCGCAUCGUCGAU
Molecule: long non-coding RNA, 296 nt
Filed under: Ananas comosus (pineapple)
Lineage: Eukaryota; Viridiplantae; Streptophyta; Magnoliopsida; Poales; Bromeliaceae
Description: long non-coding RNA (ACOM_LNC002101)
Source: RNAcentral